This 74-nucleotide transfer RNA is filed under the name Longimicrobium terrae. It matches the Rfam family "tRNA". From Rfam's summary of the family: Transfer RNA (tRNA) molecules are approximately 80 nucleotides in length. Their secondary structure includes four short double-helical elements and three loops (D, anti-codon, and T loops). Further hydrogen bonds mediate the characteristic L-shaped molecular structure. tRNAs have two regions of fundamental functional importance: the anti-codon, which is responsible for specific mRNA codon recognition, and the 3' end, to which the tRNAs corresponding amino acid is attached (by aminoacyl-tRNA synthetases). tRNAs cope with the degeneracy of the genetic code in two manners: having more than one tRNA (with a specific anti-codon) for a particular amino acid; and 'wobble' base-pairing, i.e. permitting non-standard base-pairing at the 3rd anti-codon position. Lineage: Bacteria; Pseudomonadati; Gemmatimonadota; Longimicrobiia; Longimicrobiales; Longimicrobiaceae. The record is from Rfam by way of RNAcentral.
GCCCCCGUAGCUCAGGUGGAUAGAGCGACGGUUUCCUAAACCGCAGGCCGCGCGUUCGAGUCGCGCCGGGGGCA